CGUUUGCUCCCCUCAGGAGCGGCGGCGCUCGCCGGUGACGGCGCACCCCGGUAGUCCAUGGCCUGUGUAAUGCCAAGGAACACGUCCAGGGAUUUACUUGUACGGACGUGGAAGUGCUCGGAGUGCUGGCAGUUCCACCAGCGCUUCAUAGAACCGUCAGGGCUGGAAAGGACCAUCGAGUCCAACCGUACACCCAGCCCUGCUGCUGUCAUUUCUAUUUUCAACAUAUUUUAUUUAUCUAUUUAUUUAUUUUUACUAAGCCAUCUUUCUACUGUGCCUCCUUACAUAUUUGUAUAUUUGCUUAGUUUGAGGGUUAAAUAUUUUCAGUUACAAUUAUUCUGCUUUACAAGCCCUUCCACCUGCACCGAUAAUUUCCUGCUAUUCAGUAGCCAGUUUUUAUUAAAUGUUCGUACUUGGCUUGAGUGGUGUCCUGGUUCACUCCAACCAUCCAAAACGCUGUCUUCACAGUCCCCGUGGGCUGCAGCCUGCUGAGUGAUGCUUUAUAAUAAAUACAACAGGUCUAAUAUCUGCCAGCUAUUCCAGCGUGGACAUGUGUUGCAGGAUUAGUGUCCAAGAUAGUUUCUUGUCUUUUUUAUGGGUUUCACAAAGAGACAAGGACAUGCUUGUUCCUCCCUUGGGAUGUCUGUAAGGAUACAUGGCACAGUAGUUUUACUUUAUCAGGUUUUGGUGCCACAGAACUUGUGAUGGUCAGUUCCCAGUAAGAAAAGGAAGCUGCAUCUACUUUCUGAUGAAUUCAUGACAAUUCUUGGUAGGAACUUGUUAUCAAAAUAGUUCAGGGAGGAAAUUCCAAAAGUGGGGUUUUUUUUCUGUAACUUGGCUGGCCGUCAUCUGCUAAGGAAGCCCCAGCAGGCGAAUAAUCCUUGCCAGCAGUGAAACGUUGAACAGCAGCACACUUUGUCUUUCCUAGUCUGUCCCUCAGAUCUUUUCUUUUUAAUUUUAAACAUCUUUUUAACGUGCUCUUUGGUAUUUUGCUAGACUUCUGCAAUUAAAUACAAUACACUUUUUUUUUUCCUCAUGCAGUAACAAAGAAUUGUUGCUUUUCUAUUCAUGUAUAUCUACCUUUCAGUUGCUGCACAUCAAAUUCAAAUUCUGCAAUAUUUGUGACCACAAAUUGAAUCAGAAUGCUGAACAGCUGCUGAAGCUUUAUGUUUCUUUGGUUCUAAACUUGACAUCCCUGCUGCUGAAGCUUUGUGAAGUGACAGGAAGCGUUAAAAAUCUGUGGAGAUUUUUUUCUCUGAUAAUUAAACUGACUUAAUGUUGUGGCUAAUUUGGCCUAUUGGGAAUGCAGAUUUACUGACUGGAGCUACUGCAUUACUGGGCUGUGCUUCUGAUCCUUUGGGCCCAACUCUGGCAGAGCAUAAACCCAGUACAAAAGUCACUUGUUUCAGUGCAAUUUUACUAGCAGCUUUACUAACCAGUAAAGACUGGUUUCAGAAAUUGUCCCCUUGAUAGAAAAGUGGAUUUUGGAUGUCUGCCCUUUCCUGAACACAAGGAGCCAUCAGCAUAUCAAAUGUUUUUGUUGGAUUUUGUUGCAAAUGCCAACAUCUAAAGUUACUGUGCCAUUGUUGCUUUGGUUAUAGUGCUGAAUUAUUCAAUAAGAUCAUCCACUGCCCUUCAUUUUAGAAGAUCUCUUUCACUAUUAAUUAUUAAAAGCUGUACCUCCACUUUCUUAAUUAAUGCUGGUGUUUCUUAUUAAAGGACCCAGCUCCUACAUCCUGUCAUGGGUGGGAAGUACCUUUUACAUGUUCACUGCUUCAUGUUCAGGUGGAAACCAUCACCUCAUCAAUGGAAAAUGGAUAUCAUCUGCUGAAUGCCCUUCCAGGUGAUUCCCUGGGAGAAUUCCAAGAAAUUUUAAGAAGCAGAAAUCCUAACCCUUUAUAAGUACAUAGCAGAACAGAAGAGGAUGGUUUGACCUGGACCUUGUAUGGUGGAAGUGUAAGGGAAGGGAGAAAAGCUGGGCAUUACGAAGGAAAUUUGAGCACCAAGGUUCUGAUGUUAAGAACCCCUCUGCAAGAGGGCUGGAGAAGCAAACAGGAAUGAAAGAAGAAUAAAGUGGGUUUUAUACUGUAUUUUUUUAAAGAAAGUAAGUGAAGAAUCCUUCAAAUAGAGUAUUCUUCAAAUAGAGUGUUUGCUGUAUCCUUCAAACAGAGUAUUUGCAGUUACUGUGCUUUACAGAGUGUACACUGAAAUCUAAGCAAAUCUAAAGGGAUCUGGUGUGACUGUAAGAGGGGCAACACAGGGGAGUGUUACAUAAGUGCUGUUUAGUGCAAGAAGGGACAACACGUGACCUUGAAUGAUGCAGGGAGGCUGUGUGCCAGCUGCAGGGACACCAAGAGGGGGCUGAAGCAAUGGCUUUGGUGCCUGCCUCAGCCCCUGGGAAAGGGGGGAAUCCCCUUUCCUUCCUCCAAGCGAGGGGCUGCAGGAUGUGUCUCAGGCUCUUCAGCAGCGUGGGAGAGCAGACAGCUCUGAUUGCAGGUUCAGAAGUUUAGCUGAGUGUGACAAAAUGCUUUCCCAGUCUUCCUGGAAAUCUGGGCCAACCUGUGAGGUUGAGGGAAGAGAAAUUUGAUGUUCAGGAUGUUUCUCCCUGCUGGUGAUGUUCCAGAGCAGUUUGCAGAUUCCCUGCAGUCCUGUGGGAUGAAGGGUGCUGAAUAGCACUCAAAUCUUGUAACACCAUCAGCAGAAGAGCUGUGCCGAGUGGGACAGGCAGAGGGAAAACAAGCACGUCCCCUUCGUCCCCUAAUCCGGAUCUCCUCCGAUGAGCACUAAGGACACUGCUGUCCCAGCAUGGCCUCUGGGGCCCCAGGGCAGCAGGGAGCAGUGCUGAGGGAAUAACGUUGGUAAACUGGAAAGGAGCACCUGAACCCCCUGCUAGUGUGUUGUGUGAUGUGAGCUACCAGGCCUCUGUGGGAGGAAACUGAGGCUGUCACCGUGCUGUUAAUCAGAUUCCAGCCAGGAAAAAAUAGCAAGUGAGCUAUUUUAGUCAUCCAGGACACCAGUGCAGUGGCUCUGUGAGAGGUACCAAAUAUAGAUUACAUGCACAGCCCAGGAGUGCUCGCCUGCCUGAGUCGUGUCUUCUGCAGGUGUUGGCAUAACUGCCCCUCCUGGGAUUUGUUUUCAUUUACAUGAAGCUGUAAAAGCCCAUAUGGCUGGUAAGGAGCAAGAACUAACUUUUACUUAAAAAAUCAUAGCAAAAACAAAACCAAAAGCCUGGUGGAAAAGUGGAAGAAGUAAACUCUUGGGGUUUUUUCCCCCCUUCAAAAUCAAAAGAUGUGGCUUUUUUUGGAAAACACGUACUUAUGUAAUUUGCCCUAAUUUUGGUUCUUAAUAACCAGCAUAGCUCAAUGAGAGCUGAAUGGUUGCUGCAAUUAACCCAUGUAAUGUUAUAUGUGUCUCUUUUUGAGAAAGGACUGCUUUGUCCCAGCCCACAAGACUUAUUUUAGAUAAUCACCAUUUUUAAGUGCAAAUGUGAUUUUAAAGGUAGUUAUUCUUGUCCAUGAACAUGACAGAAGUUAAAAAGCCUGUGGCAGUGCCUCGGUUAAGGGCAUGCUUGGGAACAACAGGUUUUAUUCUCCAAAUGCUGUUCAGACAAACCUGGCAUGACUGAUUCACCACGUGCCCCCCACCUGCAGCCACUCUAUGCUGAGCCCACUGGUUCUGGUAGGUCACAUUUUGAGGAAGGGGUUCAGAAAUCAGAGUUCAGCAACCCUACACCCUUGCAUUAGUGAACAUAAAGGAUUGGGUCACCUUUUCUUGCCCCUUGCUUGCCUUGAAGUGCUGGCCUGUCACUGCUGAAGGAUACAAGGUGCCUUGAAAUAAAGCUGUGCUGCUCAAAUACAGACACAAAGCAGAUUGUUUCUUGCUGCUGAUGAAAUACCAAAGCUGCUUGUCAGUGCCCUGGCCCAGGAACCAACCCCGGGGAGCUGUGCUGGCAGCAGGAGCCCCACGAAGAGCUGCAGCAGCCACCCUCAGCCCAAGUGUUUCCUGGAGUGGGGAGGAAGGGCCUCCAACACUCCCUGGUCCAUCAGCCCCUCAGUGCUGCUUGCUCGGUGCAUGGGUGCUUGUUCUGGUCAGAGCUCUGCCUCUUAAACUGUGGAUUAUGGCAGCACUGAAGGAAAACACGAUUCCCACACCCACCCAUUUAUGAGGCAUUGUUUAAUGCUACCUUGUCACUAAAUGGACUGGGAAGGGAGAAGGUUUUUAAAGACUUGAGAAAAUGGCUCUAUAUUGCUUUAAGAGCCACCCUUGUGAAAAAAUCUUAACUGUACACACACACAAGACCACCUACUCCCUCCCUCUCCCAAGUGUGGUCAUGGACUGGACCCUGGGAUAUCAUAGGGGUUCUCACGUGGCAGGUGCUGGUUUCCCUGGGUGUCAAAUGCCUUCCUUGCUCAGCCAGCCUGCAGCAGCCACAGGGAUGAGGUUGGGGAGUUUUCCAUCACUCCUUUUGGCACAGGUCUGGCUGCUGGGUUUGGGAUGUGCUGGCCAAGCAGAAAAAAGGGAUGCUGGCACAGCAGGUCAUCACUUUCUUGGGGGUAAAUCUCUAUCAGCCAAAGCUGUUGAAAACAAUGCAGGGAGCGUCAGCUCAAUGAUGGUUUGUGAUCUGUGGGAUUACUGACUGCAGUGGGCUGGAAACUCCCUUUGCACAGGGCUUGACAUAGUUAGACAAGCCUGCAAUGCAGUAAGGUAGCUGGAGCAACACAGGAAUAGGAACUUUGUCAGAUUCAUAACCAGCACUUUAACCAACCUCACUGUUGCAUCAUCCCAAGGAUGAUGUGGUUUCUCUCCUAGAGAGCAUUUGUACACCAGAGGAAUGUUUUAAAUGUAAUU
Long non-coding RNA from Passer domesticus (house sparrow), 4848 nucleotides. RefSeq lists it as uncharacterized. The record is from RefSeq and is a predicted model, not a curated record. The transcript has 8 exons. Lineage: Eukaryota; Metazoa; Chordata; Aves; Passeriformes; Passeridae.